UUAAAAUCAAGUUGUGGGUUAGUUUUGGCAAAAACCCCUUUAAUCUUUAUGAAUUUUAUGUCUUGAUUUUUUUAAAUGUCAUAAAUCUUAACUUGUUACAAAAAAAAUUUAAAUAAUCUAAACUUUUUAAAUAGUCUAAACUAUUUUUUGAUAUUUUGUGUGUCAAAUGAAAAUAAAAUAUAAAAAUAAAGUUAAGUAUUUUCUAAAUAUUUUUUAAACAUAAAAUAUAUACAUAUCCAAACAAUUAUUUUAUGUCUUAAAAACAUUUUGAAAAUAUUAAACUUUAGUUCCGAUAUUUUUAUUUUCAUAGCUAAUAUGUUACUAUAUAA
RNAcentral lists this long non-coding RNA (329 nucleotides) under Brassica napus (rape). RNAcentral's name for it is "long non-coding RNA (BNAP_LNC013830)". Lineage: Eukaryota; Viridiplantae; Streptophyta; Magnoliopsida; Brassicales; Brassicaceae. The record is from RNAcentral.